ACGCUGGCGGCACGCCUAACACAUGCAAGUCGAACGAAGUAGCAAUACUUAGUGGCAAACGGGUGAGUAAUAUGUGGGAAUCUGCCCUUCGGUCUGGAAUAACACGAGGAAACUUGCGCUAAUACCGGAUAAGCCUUUACAGGGAAAGCUUUAUGCUCCGAUGGAUGAGUCCACACUUGAUUAGUUAGUUGGUGAGGUAAAAGCUCACCAAGACAAUGAUCAAUAGCUGAUUUGAGAGGAUGAUCAGCCACAUUGGGACUGAGACACGGCCCAAACUCCUACGGGAGGCAGCAGUGGGGAAUCUUGCACAAUGGGAGCAAUCCUGAUGCAGCGAUGCCGCGUGAGUGAAGAAGGCCCUUGGGUUGUAAAGCUCUUUCGUCGGGGAAGAAAAUGACUGUACCCGAAUAAGAAGGUCCGGCUAACUUCGUGCCAGCAGCCGCGGUAAUACGAAGGGACCUAGCGUAGUUCGGAAUUACUGGGCUUAAAGAGCUCGUAGGUGGUUAGAAAAGUUGGUGGUGAAAUCCCAAGGCUUAACCUUGGAACUGCCGCCAAAACUUUUUGACUAGAGUAUGAUAGAGGAAAGUGGAAUUUCUAGUGUAGAGGUGAAAUUCGUAGAUAUUAGAAAGAAUACCAAUUGCGAAGGCAGCUUUCUGGAUCAUUACUGACACUGAGGAGCGAAAGCAUGGGUAGCGAAGAGGAUUAGAUACCCUCGUAGUCCAUGCCGUAAACGAUGUGUGCUAGACGUUGGAAAUUUAAUUUUCAGUGUCGCAGCAAAAGCGUUAAGCACACCGCCUGGGGAGUACGACCGCAAGUAAACUCAAUGAUGACGUC
This 831-nucleotide ribosomal RNA is filed under the name alpha proteobacterium SCGC AAA288-E13. RNAcentral describes it as "SSU rRNA". It matches the Rfam family "Bacterial small subunit ribosomal RNA", at positions 33 to 914 of the family's 1533-position model. The record is from RNAcentral. Lineage: Bacteria; Pseudomonadati; Pseudomonadota; Alphaproteobacteria; Candidatus Pelagibacterales; Candidatus Pelagibacteraceae.